CCCAUAAUUUUAUAUAUUUUGUUUAUAUAUUUUAACGUAUAUUAAUAUAUUUAAAUAUAAUUUACGGAUUUCAGAAAUGAAUAUGUAAUUAAAAUAUAAUUAUUUUAUUUCAUUUUGAAUACUUUUAAUGAUUUACGAAAUCAAAAUGUAUAUUUGAAUUUUACGUUAAAACGAUUUCGAAUUACGAAACCACGUUCUAUUGAAAUUAGAAAGCAAUACUAAACAUUGUGGAUUCAUCAACCUAAAUCCUACUCCUAGCCCAAUUGGGCAAAGCCCAAACCAAUAAACCCAACUAAAUACUCCCUCCUCUUCUCUACUCUUACGUGAAACCAAAAGAAGAAAAAAAAAAAAGAAAAGAGAAACCCUCCUUCAAUUCACGCACAACUCAGCCAUCUCUCCUUCCUCCCCUCCACGCCGUCGCCCACUGCCGGACCACCACCUGCACCGACGACCACCGUCGACCCUCGUGCACCACCUUUGCGCCUAGCCGCGCCGCUGAGCCACCGCCUUCGCCGCCGCCUCCGCGAGUCUCUUCGCCACCCGCACAACCCCACCUUCGUCAGCUCAAUCGACCGUCGCUGCCGCGCCGCAAAGUCUACCGCCGGCCAGCCUCCUCCUCAUUCUCUCCUUGUGGUGGAGAAUUCUCCGUAGGCGACUUUUGAAUUAUUAAAGUGGUCUUGCAGUUUGUUUACACAAGUCUCUAAGGAUCAAUAAGCGUUGCCCAUCUACAGGUUUGAAGAUGAUGCAUCAUUGGGAUCGGGAUUAGAGAGCUUGUAGUUCUAUUCGUUUAAUUAAGUGAUUUAAUUUGUUAACUUGGAUUUGAAAUUUGUCGUACUAUUCGUAUUUCCUUAAUUCAGUUAAAUGGGUUUGGACCUAAUAUGUAAUAGAUUAUUUAUGAACCUAAAAGUUAGUUCUAUGU
Molecule: long non-coding RNA, 919 nt
Organism: Spinacia oleracea (spinach)
Lineage: Eukaryota; Viridiplantae; Streptophyta; Magnoliopsida; Caryophyllales; Amaranthaceae
Exons: 5
Source: RefSeq, a predicted model, not a curated record